GGGGGGCUCUGACACUCAGACCACUUAAUUGAGCUGAAGUGGUCUGGGUGCCUAUAGUGGUCCUUUAAGCUUGUUGUUUUUGGAGACUACAGUGUCCCUUUACCUACUUUCAAUCAGUUUGACAGAAAAAGUCCAACCCCUCUGCUAUGUGCCAGAACUAUUAAAAUACACAUUGUAAUGACCAAAUCAUUAUAUACUACUAUCCACUCUUUACUUUAUUACAUAGGACAAUCACAUUCAUAUUGUAGCAAGUCGUUUAAGAGGCAGCAUAAAUGACAGCACUGAUUGAA
This is a non-coding RNA of Pelobates cultripes (western spadefoot toad), 290 nucleotides long. Lineage: Eukaryota; Metazoa; Chordata; Amphibia; Anura; Pelobatidae. The record is from the annotation of a GenBank genome assembly.